UACGAAGGGGGCUAGCGUUGUUCGGAAUUACUGGGCGUAAAGCGCGCGCAGGUGGUCUUUCAAGUCAGUGGUGAAAGCCCGGAGCUCAACUCCGGAAAUGCCAUUGAAACUGUGAGACUUGAGUCCGGGAGAGGUGAGUGGAACUGCGAGUGUAGAGGUGAAAUUCGUAGAUAUUCGCAAGAACACCAGUGGCGAAGGCGGCUCACUGGCCCGGUACUGACGCUGAGGCACGAAAGCGUGGGGAGCAAACAGG
RNAcentral lists this ribosomal RNA (253 nucleotides) under uncultured bacterium. Its description in RNAcentral is "partial 16S ribosomal RNA". It matches the Rfam family "Bacterial small subunit ribosomal RNA", at positions 524 to 776 of the family's 1533-position model. The record is from RNAcentral.